GCGACGGGUGAGUACACGUGGGCAACCUGCCCCUUGGACUGGGAUAACCAACCGAAAGGCUGGCUAAUACCGGAUAAAGACACGCUUCGCACGCGGAGUGUGGUAAAAGGUGGCCUCUUCUUGAAAGCUAUCACUAAGGGAUGGGCCCGCGGCCUAUUAGCUUGUUGGUGAGGUAACGGCUCACCAAGGCAACAAUGGGUAGCCGGCCUGAGAGGGUGAACGGUCACACUGGCACUGAGACACGGGCCAGACUCCUACGGGAGGCAGCAGUGGGGAAUUUUGCGCAAUGGGGGAAACCCUGACGCAGCAACGCCGCGUGAGUGAUGAAGGCCCUCGGGUCGUAAAGCUCUUUUAGUGGGGAAGAAACACCCUGAGACUAAUAUUCUCAGGACUUGACGGUACCCACAGAAAAAGUUCCGGCUAACUACGUGCCAGCAGCCGCGGUAAUACGUAGGGAGCAAGCGUUGUUCGGAAUUAUUGGGCGUAAAGAGCGCGUAGGCGGCAUGGCAAGUCCGAUGUGAAAUCCCAGAGCUUAACUUUGGAACUGCGUCGGAAACUGCCAAGCUAGAGUGUGGGAGAGGAGAGUGGAAUUCCCAGUGUAGAGGUGAAAUUCGUAGAUAUUGGGAGGAACACCGGUGGCGAAGGCGGCUCUCUGGACCACAACUGACGCUGAGGCGCGAAAGCUAGGGGAGCAAACGGGAUUAGAUACCCCGGUAGUCCUAGCCGUAAACGAUG
This 735-nucleotide ribosomal RNA is filed under the name uncultured bacterium. RNAcentral describes it as "bacterial SSU rRNA". It matches the Rfam family "Bacterial small subunit ribosomal RNA", at positions 99 to 811 of the family's 1533-position model. The record is from RNAcentral.